This 410-nucleotide ribosomal RNA is filed under the name uncultured microorganism. RNAcentral describes it as "bacterial SSU rRNA". It matches the Rfam family "Archaeal small subunit ribosomal RNA", at positions 330 to 744 of the family's 1478-position model. The record is from RNAcentral.
GCGCAGCAGGCGCGAAUCCUCCGCAAUGCGGGAAACCGUGACGGGGUCACCCGAGUGCCACCCGAAGAGGGUGGCUUUUCCCCGGUCUAAAAAGCCGGGGGCAAUAAGCGGGGGCGAAGUCUGGUGUCAGCCGCCGCGGUAAUACCAGCCCGCGAGUGGUCGGGACGUUUAUUGGGCCUAAAGCGUCCGUAGCCGGCCCGGUAAGUCCUCCUUAAAUCCACGGGCUCAACCCGUGGGCUGGGAGGGAUACUGCCGGGCUAGGGGGCGGGAGAGGCCGAGGGUACUCCCGGGGUAGGGGCGAAAUCCGUUAAUCCCGGGAGGACCACCAGUGGCGAAGGCGCUCGGCUGGAACGCGCCCGACGGUGAGGGACGAAAGCUGGGGGAGCAAAGGGGAUUAGAUACCCCCGUAG